Molecule: long non-coding RNA, 1641 nt
Filed under: Gallus gallus (chicken)
Lineage: Eukaryota; Metazoa; Chordata; Aves; Galliformes; Phasianidae
Description: long non-coding RNA NONGGAT003160
Source: RNAcentral
UGGGGAUGCUGCUGCCCUGCCUGGGGAGCAGAGGCAGCCAAGCUCCCCCCCGGCACUGAGCCCUCCACCCUGCCAUGGGCUGCCACACUGCGAGCUGCUGUCCAGGGCCCUCUGCCACCACUGAGGCUGACAGGAUGCCGGCGGAUGCCAGCGCGAAUGCAGAGUAAGACAACUUUCUUAAACCACAAAACAGAACACCUUUGUGAUGUGUGUUGGGACGUGAGAGUUGAUUUCUUCAGCCGCCUUCUCUUGCUGCUCCUGGGAGUACAUGUAAGAGCCAAGCAAAAGGCAAGAGAGAGGUGAAGCUCUUCCAGCAGAGCCACCCACUCCUGUGCUGUGGCUGGAUGGAUGGUGAGUGCUCCACAGCAAUGCUAACAAGCACACUGGCAGCCGGGUCCCUGCAGGCUGUGGGUUAUAAACCAGCUGGAGGGAAGAGAGUGCACUGCAUAAACCAGACCAAUGUGGUUUCUCCCUGUUUAUUCAGUGGCUGCACUACCUGCAGCAAGCCAAGCUUUAUGGUGUUGAUACUUGGGGUAUGGUAACCCUGGCUUGACUGUGGGCAAUUUUUAAGGAGCUGGUGUAGGGAAAGUCUCUCUCUUCUGCUACUAAGUGUGCUUUUCCUGGGGAAAAGAAGGAAGUGAAAUAUGGGAAAUUACUGACCUUUGGAAAGUGUGCUGAGUCCUAACAGAGGAAAGUAAACUGAGCAGGAGUUGAGCUGUGGAUGAUACAAACAAGCUUCCCAGCGUAUUGAAAUUCCCAGGUUGUGGUUCUUUUUGCCCUGGUUUAACACUCGAGGCAUUAUCUGUCUGGUAAAGGCAUUACGCUGUGUUUUCCCCUCCAUAAAUAGCUACAGGGAGACAGUGAAGCAUAGGAUCUCCAUGCAGUCUCCUGCAGAUGCACUCUUUCCUUCAUCUGAAGGUGCUUUUUGCAGCACUGACGGAGAAUUCCAAUUCACUGUUGGCCUUUCUAACUAGAAGGUGCUACUGCUAAUUAGUGCCACCGAUGGGUCAGCUCUUGAGUCUAUACCCAGGAAGUAUCCCUAACCUACAUGAUCCCAGUACACAGCAUGUUUCUAUUUCUACAAACUGUACAUAUUUAUUUUUUACAAUAUAAUCUGAUGUCCUUGGGAUGACAAGGGACUGAUAUUCUGUGUUUUUAUCUCUCAUAUUGAUAAAUGAAACAUGAUAAAAGAAACUGAAAUCCUAGGCGUCCUUCCAGUAAGGCAGAAAACAAGCACACGGAUUUAGCUUUGUUACAUGUAAUAGGUGUUGUGCUUGAAUAUGGUAAUUUGUCAAAGGUAUUACCUCCCACUAAUUAAUCUCAGAGCCCUGCUGGAAGACAGGCUGCUCAGUAUUUGUCAGUUCACAUGUACACCCACUCUGAAUGGUUAAGGGAUCCAGGAGAAUGCUCUAAUAGGAAAAUUAUUUCAUAUAGAAAAGCAACGUGUUAACAUUUUCCAGAAGCCUUAAAGAAUCUUUUAUAUGGAGUACAAGAAAGAAACAAGUAGUGUGCAAAUUAAAGAUGAAUUUGCUGCCAUUGAACUGGGGAGUCAUUUAUUUUUGCUUGGAAAAAGCAAACCUAUUUAGCAAUCUACUGGGGAUCCUCCCAUUUUAAGUGCAGGCCUUUUAUCUCCAGGAGUUC